CGGCGGAGCAUGUGGAUUAAUUCGAUGCAACGCGAAGGACCUUACCUGGGUUCGACAUGCACUAGACGCGUCUAGAGAUAGGCGUUCCCUUGUGGCUGGUGUGCAGGUGGUGCAUGGCUGUCGUCAGCUCGUGUCGUGAGAUGUUGGGUUAAGUCCCGCAACGAGCGCAACCCUCGUUCCAUGUUGCCAGCGGGUUAUGCCGGGGACUCAU
RNAcentral lists this ribosomal RNA (211 nucleotides) under uncultured Pseudonocardia sp. Its description in RNAcentral is "partial 16S ribosomal RNA". It matches the Rfam family "Bacterial small subunit ribosomal RNA", at positions 930 to 1142 of the family's 1533-position model. The record is from RNAcentral. Lineage: Bacteria; Bacillati; Actinomycetota; Actinomycetes; Pseudonocardiales; Pseudonocardiaceae.